Molecule: long non-coding RNA, 1304 nt
Filed under: Struthio camelus australis
Lineage: Eukaryota; Metazoa; Chordata; Aves; Struthioniformes; Struthionidae
Description: lncRNA (ENSSCUG00000004428.1)
Source: RNAcentral
GGCAGGUGUGCGGCCUGGGUGCAAACACACGUGUGUGCAUGCAGCCAGGGUACACACAUGCGUGCACGCACAUGAGCUGGGUGCAAACAUACAUGCACGCAUGAGCUGGGGUUUAAACAUGCGCACGCGCAUGCAUGCAGCCUGGGUGCAAACAUAUGUGCGCAUGCAUGGCCCAGGUGCUAACACAUAGGCAUGCACACAAGCUAGGUGCAAGCACGCAUGCACACGCAUGGCCCAAGUGCAAACACACCUGCAUAUGCAUGGCCCAGGUACAAACAUGUACAGGUGCGUGGCCCAGGUGAAAACAUGCAUGCACACACCUGGCCCAGGUGCAGACACAUGUGCAGGCAUGCAUACAGCCCUGGUGCAAACACGUGUGCAGGCAUGCAGUCUAGGUGCAAAUAUGCGUGCAUGCACAUGGUCCAGGUGCAAAUACGCAUACAUACAGGCAGCCCAGGUGCAAACACGUGCAGGUACAUGGCCUGGCUGCAAACAUGCAUGCACACGCAUGGCCCAUGUGCAAACAUGCAUGCACACACAUGGCCCAGGUGUGGGCGCGCAUGCAUCCACGCACCCCAGGUGCAAACACACAUGCAUCUGUGUGACCUGGAUGCAAAUGCACAUGCAUGCAUGCAUACAUAUGGCCCAGCUGCAAACACUCGUGCAGGUGCAUGGCCUGGCUGCAAACAUGCAUGCACGCAGAGGGCCCAGGUGCAAGCAUGCGCACACAUGCACGGCCCAGGUGCAAAGUGCACAUGCACUUGUGCAGCCUGGGUGGGAGCACACAUGCAUGCACGCACAUGGCCCAGGUGCAGACAUGCACGCAGCCCAGGUGCAAACACGUGUGAAUGCAUGUGCUCCAGGUGCGAACAGGCAUGCACUCAUGCAGCCUGGCUGCAAACAAGCAGGCAGGUGCAUGGCCCAGGUGCAAGCAUGCAUGCACAUACACAGCCUGGGUGCAAGCACGUGUGUGGGGGAACCCGCCACCGGGACGGGAGCAGAGACAUUUCCCAGAGGGAAGCAAAUCCUUCUGGCAGCUCGGAGCGGCCGGAGAGCCCUGAGAAUGCUGCCGGCACGGAGCCUCCCGCGGCGGCGCCGGCGCUUCCGAGACCUCGGCCCGAGAUCGAUGCAACGCCGGGAGCUGCCUGCAAACCGCUGCGCCAGCCCCAGAGGCACCCGGCUCCAUUAGCUCCACACUUAAUUAGCUCCGUGUUUAAUUAGCCCAUCCCUGAAGCAGCUCAUUCCAAGCGUGUCUUUGCAGCAGGGCCCCAGGGGCCNNNNNNNNNNNNNNNNNNNNNNNNNNN